Molecule: small RNA, 708 nt
Filed under: Pan troglodytes (chimpanzee)
Lineage: Eukaryota; Metazoa; Chordata; Mammalia; Primates; Hominidae
Description: processed transcript
Source: RNAcentral
GCUUGUGUAUGAGCGCAGCGGCGGACCUGUGAGGGGAUCCGACUUGCCGGCAGAACUUAGGCUGCGGGACCCCGGGCACUGUUGCUGCUGCGGGAGGGAGAAGGCUGAGCAGACCAUCUGGAACCGUUUACAUCAGCUUAAAGCCUUGAAGACAAGGCGGCCCCGCUCCCGGGUUCCUCUGAGGAUUGGAAUUCUAGGCUGCAUGGCUGAGAGGUUGAAGGAGGAGAUUCUCAACAGAGAGAAAAUGGUAGAUAUUUUGGCUGGUCCUGACGCCUACCGGGACCUUCCCCGGCUGCUGGCUGUUGCUGAGUCGGGUCAGCAAGCUGCCAACGUGCUGCUCUCUCUGGACGAGACCUAUGCUGAUGUCAUGCCAGUCCAGACAAGCGCCAGUGCCACGUCUGCCUUUGUGUCGAUCAUGCGAGGCUGUGACAACAUGUGUAGCUACUGCAUUGUUCCUUUCACCCGGGGCAGGGAGAGGAGUCGGCCUAUUGCCUCCAUUCUAGAGGAAGUGAAGAAGCUUUCUGAGCAGGGGCUGAAAGAAGUGACACUUCUUGGUCAGAAUGUUAAUAGUUUUUGGGACAAUUCAGAGGUCCAGUUCAACAAUGCAGUACCUACCAAUCUCAGUCGUGGCUUUACCACCAACUAUAAAACCAAGCAAGGAGGACUUCGUUUUGCUCAUCUUCUGGAUCAGGUCUCCAGAGUAGAUCC